CGUAGGGUGCGAGCGUUAAUCGGAAUUACUGGGCGUAAAGCGUGCGCAGGCGGUUAUAUAAGACAGGUGUGAAAUCCCCGGGCUCAACCUGGGAACUGCAUUUGUGACUGUAUAGCUAGAGUACGGCAGAGGGGGAUGGAAUUCCGCGUGUAGCAGUGAAAUGCGUAGAUAUGCGGAGGAACACCGAUGGCGAAGGCAAUCCCCUGGGCCUGUACUGACGCUCAUGCACGAAAGCGUGGGGAGCAAACAGGAUCAGAUACCCUGGUAGUCCACGCCCUAAACGAUGUCAACUGGUUGUUGGGUCUUCACUGACUCAGUAACGAAGCUAACGCGUGAAGUUGACCGCCUGGGGAGUACGGCCGCAAGGUUG
This 370-nucleotide ribosomal RNA is filed under the name uncultured organism. RNAcentral describes it as "bacterial SSU rRNA". It matches the Rfam family "Bacterial small subunit ribosomal RNA", at positions 526 to 896 of the family's 1533-position model. The record is from RNAcentral.